This 2172-nucleotide ribosomal RNA is filed under the name Triticum aestivum (bread wheat). RNAcentral describes it as "partial small subunit ribosomal RNA". Lineage: Eukaryota; Viridiplantae; Streptophyta; Magnoliopsida; Poales; Poaceae. The record is from RNAcentral.
AUGGAGAGGGAGAUUGGUCCAGAGUAUGAGCUGAACGAGAUAGAUGGCGGCACGUUGCAUGGCUCUGUGGGGAGCAGGCUCUCCCUGUUCGCCAGGGAGUUCAAGUGGAGAAGCAGCAGCUGGCAUAGCAGCAGCGCCUUGAGGCUCCCCAACAAUUGCUAUGGCAGCAGCUUUGUCAUCGACCCCAAUGGAAGAUGGUACAGGAUGUGGUCGAACAUGAUGUUCCUCUGGUCCAUCUACUCCGUCUUCUACACCCCCUUCGCCUUCUGCUUCUUCCGGGGCAUCCCCGAGCACCUGCUGGACCUCGAGUGCGUGCAGCUCAUCUUCCUCGCCGACGUCGCCGUCCACUUCUUCCUCGCCUACCGUGACCCUCACACCCACCGGGUGGUCUACGACCAGCAGAGGAUCGCGCUACGCUACAUCAAGGGCAGCUUCGCUCUCGACAUGCUCGGAUGCUUCCCCUGGGACGCAGUCUACAAGUUUACGGGGAGGAUGGAGGUGGUGAGGUACCUGGUGUGGCUGCGGCUGUACAGGGCGAGGAAGAUCCAGGGCUUCUUCAAGAAGAUGGAGAAGGACAUCCGCAUCAGCUACCUCUUCACGCGGAUCGCGAAGCUGGCCACCGUGGAGCUCUACUGCACGCACACCGCCGCCUGCGUCUUCUACUACCUCGCCACCACGCUGCCCCCGGCGCGCGAGGGGGGCACCUGGAUCGGGAGCCUCGCCAUGGGCGACCAGAGCUACAUCAACUUCAGGAAGGUCGACCUGCUCACCCGCUACAUCACCUCCCUCUACCUCGCCAUCGUCACCAUGGCCACAGUCGGCUAUGGUGAUGUGCAUGCGGUGAACCCGAGGGAGAUGGUGUUCAUCGUGGUGUACGUCUCCUUCAGCAUGCUGCUCGGCGCCUACCUCAUCGGGAACAUGACGGCGCUCAUCGUCAAGGGGUCCAGGACCGAGCGGUUCCGGGACAAGAUGACGGAGCUCAUCAGGUACAUGAACAGAAACCGGCUGUGCAGCGACAUCAGCUCCCAGGUGAAGGCGCACCUGCUGCUGCAGUACGAGAGCAGCUACAAGAGAGACAGGAUCAUCGACGACAUACCCGCCGCGGUCCGAUCCAAGACACUGUACCUGGAAACGGUCUCAAAAGUGCACCUGUUCAGAGGAUGCUCAGAAGACUUCCUGAGCCAGAUUGUGGUUAAAAUACAGGAAGAAUUCUUCCUCCCCGGGGAAGUUAUUUUGGAGCAAGGCACUGUAGUGGAUCAGAUAUACAUUGUGGCACAUGGAUGUCUGGAAGAGUUCGCCGCCGCCGGAGAAGGCGGAUCAGAAGAGAUCGUCUCAGAGCUGCUGCCCUACGACAUAGUCGGCGACGUCGCCGUGAUCUGCAACACUCGACAGCCAUACACAGUUAGAGUCAGUGAACUCUGCAGCCUCUUGAGAAUUGACAAGCAGUCCCUGACUAGCAUCUUGCAAAUGUACCUCAAGGAUAGCCGUCAGAUACUGAGCAACCUACUCAAGGGGAAACGAACAGAGUCAAAGGGGAAGCAACUAGAAUCAGAUAUCACAUACCUUAUAGCAAAGCAAGAAGCUGACAUGGUCCUUGGAGUCAACAAUGCUGCCUACCAUGGAGAUUUGUUUCGGUUGAAAGGCUUGAUCGGUGCAGGAGCAGAUCCGAGUAAACCGGAUUACGACGGGAGGACCUCCUUGCAUGUGGCUGCAUCAAGAGGAUACGAAGAUAUCGUCAGGUUCCUUAUCCAGCGAGGAGCAAACGUCAACAGCAUAGAUAAGUCUGGGAAGUCGCCGCUGCUGCAAGCGGUGAAAUCAGGGCACGAGAGGAUCAUCUCGCUGCUGGUGGCGCACGGCGCGGCGCUGAACCUGGAGGACGCAGGAGGCUACCUGUGCAGGGUGGUCGCCCAGGGCAAGAUCGACCUGCUGAGGAGGCUGCUCAGGUUCGGCAUCGACCCCAACUGCAGGAACUACGACCGGAGGACGCCGCUCCACGUAGCCGCCAGCGAGGGCCUGCACCUCGUCGCUGGGAUGCUGGUGGAGUUUGGUGCUGACCUUGUGGCCGCAGACAGGUGGGGCAACACCCCGCUCGACGAAGCACAACGGUGCGGCUGCAAGCCGCUGGUGAGGAUCCUGGAGCAGGCUAGAGCUGCUGCUGCUGCCGAUCAUUAG